GCAAUAAGACAUAGAGCUACAAUUUUGCUUCUUUGAUCAGAAGCUAAAAACUAAGGAAAAUAGGACUUUAAGCUAGACCAAUCUAGCACACUAAAAUUGAAAAUUGGUAAUUACAUAAAAUGAUGCUUGAAGUGAUUUGGCAAUAAAUGCCAACUUGUGAAAAUGGUAAAUUGCAUUAUAUUGACAAUAUAUUGAAUUGUAAAUUGUGACAUGUUGAUGCUAGAAUCAACCUAUCCAUGAUACAUAAAAGGGUCAAUAAUUUUAUUGACCAGUGAAAGGCAUAAAGAUGUAUAAACCCUAUGAAUAAAGAAUUAAAUAUAUAACAUUGUAAUAUGCCCUAAUUUGCCUAGUUGACUACUUUGGAUAGAUUGGCAUGCCAAUAGGAUUCUGACAGCUGUUCUGUAAAUGACUUUACGUCAUACUGUGUUUUAUGGCUUAUUAUGCCAUACUAUGAUUUUAAUAGCCUAUGGCUAUAUAGAUUGUGUUAUUAUACUCGGCUUAAUGCCUGAUUGAUUAGAUGGCUUUUUAGCCACACUGUUUGCACACCGGGAGAUACUUUAUGACCGAUGGUGUGACGGCCCGAGAUACUUGGUACCUAGUGCCAGUUUACCCGUUUAUCCA
RNAcentral lists this unclassified non-coding RNA (621 nucleotides) under Hevea brasiliensis (rubber tree). Lineage: Eukaryota; Viridiplantae; Streptophyta; Magnoliopsida; Malpighiales; Euphorbiaceae. The record is from RNAcentral.